Molecule: long non-coding RNA, 404 nt
Filed under: Bos indicus x Bos taurus (hybrid cattle)
Lineage: Eukaryota; Metazoa; Chordata; Mammalia; Artiodactyla; Bovidae
Description: lncRNA (ENSBIXG00000024227.1)
Source: RNAcentral
AUUUGCCUCAUUCAUGAUGAAAUACUAGACCUGAGAAGCAGCAGCCGAUCGUCUUACGCUGAGCCAACAAGGCAUGGAAGCCUGAGGCAAGGCUCUGAGAUGAUGAGGUUUUGGCAAAAGACAACAGCUUCCCACCUAGACUGUACCCUCCAGCAGGGGAAACCAUGCAGGACCUGUUUUAAAAACCCCAGUAUCUACAGUGCUGAGCGCAACACCUGCACCUGAAGAUGAACUGUGAACUGGGAAGCACAAUAUCCAACUAGUAAAGAAUCCUCAUCACAUCCUUUAUAAAUUCAGUACCAACCCUUUGACUCUGGAUACUGUAAGGAUCUACUAGAAUUACAUUUUUCAGCAAUGACCUCUGGCCACUUACGUCUAACAUAAUAAAUGCAAGGACUUUGCCA